This 1577-nucleotide ribosomal RNA is filed under the name Weissella confusa. Its description in RNAcentral is "bacterial SSU rRNA". It matches the Rfam family "Bacterial small subunit ribosomal RNA". Lineage: Bacteria; Bacillati; Bacillota; Bacilli; Lactobacillales; Lactobacillaceae. The record is from RNAcentral.
CAAAUUGAGAGUUUGAUCCUGGCUCAGGAUGAACGCUGGCGGCGUGCCUAAUACAUGCAAGUCGAACGCUUUGUGGUUCAACUGAUUUGAAGAGCUUGCUCAGAUAUGACGAUGGACAUUGCAAAGAGUGGCGAACGGGUGAGUAACACGUGGGAAACCUACCUCUUAGCAGGGGAUAACAUUUGGAAACAGAUGCUAAUACCGUAUAACAAUGACAACCGCAUGGUUGUUAUUUAAAAGAUGGUUCUGCUAUCACUAAGAGAUGGUCCCGCGGUGCAUUAGCUAGUUGGUAAGGUAAUGGCUUACCAAGGCGAUGAUGCAUAGCCGAGUUGAGAGACUGAUCGGCCACAAUGGGACUGAGACACGGCCCAUACUCCUACGGGAGGCAGCAGUAGGGAAUCUUCCACAAUGGGCGAAAGCCUGAUGGAGCAACGCCGCGUGUGUGAUGAAGGGUUUCGGCUCGUAAAACACUGUUGUAAGAGAAGAAUGACAUUGAGAGUAACUGUUCAAUGUGUGACGGUAUCUUACCAGAAAGGAACGGCUAAAUACGUGCCAGCAGCCGCGGUAAUACGUAUGUUCCAAGCGUUAUCCGGAUUUAUUGGGCGUAAAGCGAGCGCAGACGGUUAUUUAAGUCUGAAGUGAAAGCCCUCAGCUCAACUGAGGAAUUGCUUUGGAAACUGGAUGACUUGAGUGCAGUAGAGGAAAGUGGAACUCCAUGUGUAGCGGUGAAAUGCGUAGAUAUAUGGAAGAACACCAGUGGCGAAGGCGGCUUUCUGGACUGUAACUGACGUUGAGGCUCGAAAGUGUGGGUAGCAAACAGGAUUAGAUACCCUGGUAGUCCACACCGUAAACGAUGAGUGCUAGGUGUUUGAGGGUUUCCGCCCUUAAGUGCCGCAGCUAACGCAUUAAGCACUCCGCCUGGGGAGUACGACCGCAAGGUUGAAACUCAAAGGAAUUGACGGGGACCCGCACAAGCGGUGGAGCAUGUGGUUUAAUUCGAAGCAACGCGAAGAACCUUACCAGGUCUUGACAUCCCUUGACAACUCCAGAGAUGGAGCGUUCCCUUCGGGGACAAGGUGACAGGUGGUGCAUGGUUGUCGUCAGCUCGUGUCGUGAGAUGUUGGGUUAAGUCCCGCAACGAGCGCAACCCUUAUUACUAGUUGCCAGCAUUCAGUUGGGCACUCUAGUGAGACUGCCGGUGACAAACCGGAGGAAGGUGGGGAUGACGUCAAAUCAUCAUGCCCCUUAUGACCUGGGCUACACACGUGCUACAAUGGCGUAUACAACGAGUUGCCAACCCGCGAGGGUGAGCUAAUCUCUUAAAGUACGUCUCAGUUCGGAUUGUAGGCUGCAACUCGCCUACAUGAAGUCGGAAUCGCUAGUAAUCGCGGAUCAGCACGCCGCGGUGAAUACGUUCCCGGGUCUUGUACACACCGCCCGUCACACCAUGAGAGUUUGUAACACCCAAAGCCGGUGGGGUAACCUUCGGGAGCCAGCCUUCUAAGGUGGGACAGAUGAUUAGGGUGAAGUCGUAACAAGGUAGCCGUAGGAGAACCUGCGGCUGGAUCACCUCCUUU